Molecule: long non-coding RNA, 2017 nt
Filed under: Salmo salar (Atlantic salmon)
Lineage: Eukaryota; Metazoa; Chordata; Actinopteri; Salmoniformes; Salmonidae
Description: lncRNA (ENSSSAG00000105061.1)
Source: RNAcentral
CAUGAUUGUGUCCCACUUGUUGUUGAUUCUUCACAAAAAAUUACAGUUUUAUAUCUUUAUGUUUGAAGCCUGAAAUGUGGCAAAAGGUCAAAAAGUUCAAGGGGGCCGAAUACUUUCGCAAGGCACUAUAUAUAUAUAUAUAUAUAUAUCUCUGCCUUACUUUUUCUCAAUAGUUGGUUUGAGAUUGAAGUUUUGAAUCUUAAGCAACCUGCCUACAUGUUGUACAGUAGACCAACAUAGCUACUGUACUAGAUGAAAGCUGUGUGCUUGCAUAGCUCGGCAGGGCAUGGGUAAAGCCAGGCCUUGUGGUGCUCAUGUGAGCAGCCUAAAUUCUCACAAAAAAUGUUUGUGAUUCAUUUAUAUCAAGGACCUAGUUAUGGCCACUGUCUUCUUGUCUGAGACCAACAAGAUGAAGUCUCUGUAACACCUCCGGUAACCCCUCCCUUCUCUCCCUUUCCUCCCGUUCCUUCCUUCUCUCCUUCUCCCUUCCACUCCCUUCUCUCCCUUUCCUCCAUUUCCUCCCUGCUAUCCCUUUCCUCUAUUCUCUCCCUUUCAUCCAUUCCCUCCCUUCUCUCCUUUUCCCCUCUUCUCUCCCUUUUCUCCCUUCUCACCCUUCUCUCCAUGUCCUCCCUUCUCUCCCUUUCCUCCCUUCUCACCCUUCUUUCCCUUCUCUCCCUUUCCUCCCUUCUCUCCCAUUUCCUCCCUUCUCUCCCUAAUCUCCAUUUCCCCCCUUCUCUCCCUUUCCUCCCUGAUCUCCUUACUCUCCAUUUCCUCCCGGCUCUCCCUUCUCCCCUUUUCUCCCUUAUCUCCAUUCUCUCCCUUUCCGCCCUUCUCACCCUUCUCUCCCCUUCCUCCCUGCUCUCCCUUUCCUCCCUUUCCUUCCUUCCCUCCCUUCUCUCCUUUCCUCCCUUCUCUCCCUCAUCGUCCCAUUCCUCCCUUUUCUCCCUCAUCUCCCUUUCCUCCCUUCUCUCCCUUUUCUCCCUACUCUCCCUUUCCUACCUUCUCACCCUUCAUGUCCCAUUCCUCCCUUCUCUCCCAUUACUCCCUUCUCUCCCUCAUCUCUCUUCUCUCCCUUCUCUCUCUUUCCUCCCUUCUCUCCCUUCUCUUACUUCUCUCCCUUUCCUUCUCUUCUUACUGGGUUGGCCACCCUCUCGCCAUCUGGUCCUGCCUGUCUUCUUUGCUUGGCUAUCCUCCUCUCCUCUUCUGUUUUCUUGUUCCCCCUGUCCUCCUACACCUCCUCCUCCCGCUUGUCUCGCUCAUGGUCUCCUGUUUAUCUUGACCUCUAGCAGCGUUGUUUCCCUACCUAUUUCUCCUCUUCGAAAGAGCAACACUGUAGCAACAGGAGAGGACUGUGUUCAACACUGUAGCAACAGGAGAGGACCGUGUUCAACACUGUAGCAACAGGAGAGGACAGUGUUCAACACUGUAGCAACAGGAGAGGACAGUGUUCAACACUGUAGCAACAGGAGAGGACAGUGUUCAACACUGUAGCAACAGGAGAGGACAGUGUUCAACACUGUAGCAACAGGAGAGGAGAGUGUUCAACACUGUAGCAACAGGAGAGGACAGUGUUCAACACUGUAGCAACAGGAGAGGACAGUGUUCAACACUGUAGCAACAGGAGAGGACAGUGUUCAACACUGUAGCAACAGGAGAGGACAGCGUUCAACACGGCAGCAACAGGAGAGGACAGUGUUGAAGCAUUGGAACAACAGGAGAGGUCAGUGUUGAAGCAUUGGAACAACAGGAGAGGACAGGGUUGAAGCAUUGGAACAACAGGAGAGGUCAGUGUUGAAGCAUUGGAACAACAGGAGAGGACAGGGUUGAAGCAUUGGAACAACAGGAGAGGACAGGGUUGAGGCAUUGGAACAACAGGAGAGGACAGUGUUGAAGCAUUGGAACAACAGGAGAGGACAGUGUUGAGGCAUUGGAACAACAGGAGAGGACAGUGUUGAAGCAUUGGAACAACAGGAGAGGACAGGGUUGAAGCAUUGGAACAACAGGAGAGGACAGUGUU